RNAcentral lists this ribosomal RNA (513 nucleotides) under Dacus eclipsis. Its description in RNAcentral is "partial 16S ribosomal RNA". It matches the Rfam family "Bacterial large subunit ribosomal RNA", at positions 1829 to 2597 of the family's 2925-position model. The record is from RNAcentral. Lineage: Eukaryota; Metazoa; Arthropoda; Insecta; Diptera; Tephritidae.
GUCUUUUUGAGUUAUUUUUAAAGUCUGACCUGCCCACUGAAUUUUUUUAAAUGGCCGCAGUAUUCUAACUGUGCAAAGGUAGCAUAAUCAUUAGUCUUUUAAUUGAAGGCUGGUAUGAACGGUUGGACGAGGUAUAAGCUGUUUCAUGUAAAUUUAUAGUAGAAUUUUAUAUUUUAGUCAAAAAGCUAAAAUGUAAUUAAAAGACGAGAAGACCCUAUAAAUCUUUAUAUUUUAUGUAAUUUAAAUUUUUUUGAUUUUUUUUAUUUUUAUUAUAUCAAAUAUUUUGUUGGGGUGAUAUUAAAAUUUGAUGAACUUUUAAUUGUUUUAAGUCAUUGAUUUAUGAAUUAUUGAUCCAUUAGUAGUGAUUAUAAGAUUAAGUUACUUUAGGGAUAACAGCGUAAUUUUUUUGGAGAGUUCUUAUCGAUAAAAAAGUUUGCGACCUCGAUGUUGGAUUAAGAUAUAGAUUUAGGUGUAGUCGCUUAAAUACUGAGUCUGUUCGACUUUUAAAUUCUU